RNAcentral lists this ribosomal RNA (120 nucleotides) under Sinocyclocheilus anshuiensis. Lineage: Eukaryota; Metazoa; Chordata; Actinopteri; Cypriniformes; Cyprinidae. The record is from RNAcentral.
GCUAAAUGACUAAAUCUAAACGUCUGCGCCCAAUCUCAUCUGCUCUCGGAAGCUAAGCAGGGUUGGGUCUGGUUAGUACUUGGAAUGGAGACCGCCUGGGAAUACCAGGUGCUGUAAGCU